GAUGAAGAACGCAGUGAAAUGCGAUAAGUAAUGUGAAUUGCAGAAUUCAGUGAAUCAUCGAAUCUUUGAACGCACAUUGCGCCCGCCAGUAUUCUGGCGGGCAUGCCUGUUCGAGCGUCAUUUCAACCAUCAAGCCCCCGGGCUUGUGUUGGGGACCUGCGGCUGCCGCAGGCCCUGAAAAGCAGUGGCGGGCUCGCUGUCACACCGAGCGUAGUAGAUUUUAUCUCGCUCUGGGCGUGCUGCGGGUUCCGGCCGUUAAACCACCCUUUUAACCCAAGGUUGACCUCGGAUCAGGUAGGAAGACCCGCUGAACUUAAGCAUAUCAAUAAGCGGAGGA
This 337-nucleotide unclassified non-coding RNA is filed under the name soil metagenome. RNAcentral describes it as "partial contains 5.8S ribosomal RNA, internal transcribed spacer 2, and large subunit ribosomal RNA". The stretch from base 1 to 120 matches the Rfam family "5.8S ribosomal RNA", at positions 35 to 154 of the family's 154-position model. The record is from RNAcentral.